This 475-nucleotide ribosomal RNA is filed under the name uncultured bacterium. Its description in RNAcentral is "bacterial SSU rRNA". It matches the Rfam family "Bacterial small subunit ribosomal RNA", at positions 15 to 507 of the family's 1533-position model. The record is from RNAcentral.
GAUCCUGGCUCAGGACGAACGCUGGCGGCGUGCUUAACACAUGCAAGUCGAGCGAUGAAGCUCCUUCGGGAGUGGAUUAGCGGCGGACGGGUGAGUAACACGUGGGCAACCUGCCUUGUAGAGAGGAAUAGCCAUUCGAAAGGAUGAUUAAUACCUCAUAAUAUUGUAGUUUCGCAUGAAGCAACAAUCAAAGGAGCAAUCCACUACAAGAUGGGCCCGCGGCGCAUUAGCUAGUUGGUGAGGUAACGGCUCACCAAGGCGACGAUGCGUAGCCGACCUGAGAGGGUGAUCGGCCACAUUGGGACUGAGACACGGCCCAGACUCCUACGGGAGGCAGCAGUGGGGAAUAUUGCACAAUGGGGGAAACCCUGAUGCAGCAACGCCGCGUGAGUGAUGACGGUCUUCGGAUUGUAAAGCUCUGUCUUCAGGGACGAUAAUGACGGUACCUGAGGAGGAAGCCACGGCUAACUACGUG